UUAAAUUGAAGAGUUUGAUCAUGGCUCAGAUUGAACGCUGGCGGCAGGCCUAACACAUGCAAGUCGAACGGUAACAGAAAGCAGCUUGCUGCUUUGCUGACGAGUGGCGGACGGGUGAGUAAUGUCUGGGAAACUGCCUGAUGGAGGGGGAUAACUACUGGAAACGGUAGCUAAUACCGCAUAACGUCGCAAGACCAAAGAGGGGGACCUUCGGGCCUCUUGCCAUCGGAUGUGCCCAGAUGGGAUUAGCUUGUUGGUGGGGUAACGGCUCACCAAGGCGACGAUCCCUAGCUGGUCUGAGAGGAUGACCAGCCACACUGGAACUGAGACACGGUCCAGACUCCUACGGGAGGCAGCAGUGGGGAAUAUUGCACAAUGGGCGCAAGCCUGAUGCAGCCAUGCCGCGUGUAUGAAGAAGGCCUUCGGGUUGUAAAGUACUUUCAGCGGGGAGGAAGGGAGUAAAGUUAAUACCUUUGCUCAUUGACGUUACCCGCAGAAGAAGCACCGGCUAACUCCGUGCCAGCAGCCGCGGUAAUACGGAGGGUGCAAGCGUUAAUCGGAAUUACUGGGCGUAAAGCGCACGCAGGCGGUUUGUUAAGUCAGAUGUGAAAUCCCCGGGCUCAACCUGGGAACUGCAUCUGAUACUGGCAAGCUUGAGUCUCGUAGAGGGGGGUAGAAUUCCAGGUGUAGCGGUGAAAUGCGUAGAGAUCUGGAGGAAUACCGGUGGCGAAGGCGGCCCCCUGGACGAAGACUGACGCUCAGGUGCGAAAGCGUGGGGAGCAAACAGGAUUAGAUACCCUGGUAGUCCACGCCGUAAACGAUGUCGACUUGGAGGUUGUGCCCUUGAGGCGUGGCUUCCGGAGCUAACGCGUUAAGUCGACCGCCUGGGGAGUACGGCCGCAAGGUUAAAACUCAAAUGAAUUGACGGGGGCCCGCACAAGCGGUGGAGCAUGUGGUUUAAUUCGAUGCAACGCGAAGAACCUUACCUGGUCUUGACAUCCACAGAACUUUCCAGAGAUGGAUUGGUGCCUUCGGGAACUGUGAGACAGGUGCUGCAUGGCUGUCGUCAGCUCGUGUUGUGAAAUGUUGGGUUAAGUCCCGCAACGAGCGCAACCCUUAUCCUUUGUUGCCAGCGGUCCGGCCGGGAACUCAAAGGAGACUGCCAGUGAUAAACUGGAGGAAGGUGGGGAUGACGUCAAGUCAUCAUGGCCCUUACGACCAGGGCUACACACGUGCUACAAUGGCGCAUACAAAGAGAAGCGACCUCGCGAGAGCAAGCGGACCUCAUAAAGUGCGUCGUAGUCCGGAUUGGAGUCUGCAACUCGACUCCAUGAAGUCGGAAUCGCUAGUAAUCGUGGAUCAGAAUGCCACGGUGAAUACGUUCCCGGGCCUUGUACACACCGCCCGUCACACCAUGGGAGUGGGUUGCAAAAGAAGUAGGUAGCUUAACCUUCGGGAGGGCGCUUACCACUUUGUGAUUCAUGACUGGGGUGAAGUCGUAACAAGGUAACCGUAGGGGAACCUGCGGUUGGAUCACCUCCUUACCUUAAAGAA
This 1554-nucleotide ribosomal RNA is filed under the name Escherichia coli O157:H43. RNAcentral describes it as "bacterial SSU rRNA". It matches the Rfam family "Bacterial small subunit ribosomal RNA". Lineage: Bacteria; Pseudomonadati; Pseudomonadota; Gammaproteobacteria; Enterobacterales; Enterobacteriaceae. The record is from RNAcentral.